AACGAACGCUGGCGGCAGGCUUAACACAUGCAAGUCGAACGAUGUAGCAAUACAUAGUGGCGCACGGGUGAGUAACGCGUGAGAACGUGCCCUUCAGUACGGGAUAACACCGGGAAACUGGUGCUAAUACCGUAUAUUCCCUCCGGGGGAAAGAUUUAUCGCUGAAGGAUCGGCCCGCGUAAGAUUAGGUAGUUGGUGGGGUAAUGGCCUACCAAGCCUACGAUCUUUAGCUGGUCUGAGAGGAUGAUCAGCCACACUGGAACUGAGACACGGUCCAGACUCCUACGGGAGGCAGCAGUGGGGAAUAUUGGACAAUGGGGGAAACCCUGAUCCAGCCAUGCCGCGUGUGUGAUGAAGGCCUUAGGGUUGUAAAGCACUUUUGUCAGGGAAGAUGAUGACGGUACCUGAAGAAUAAGCACCGGCUAACUUCGUGCCAGCAGCCGCGGUAAU
RNAcentral lists this ribosomal RNA (450 nucleotides) under uncultured bacterium. Its description in RNAcentral is "bacterial SSU rRNA". It matches the Rfam family "Bacterial small subunit ribosomal RNA", at positions 29 to 524 of the family's 1533-position model. The record is from RNAcentral.